AAUUAAUGAACUUGUUCUAAGUGUAUAUUUUGAAAAUAUAAUAAAGAAGUUAAACCCUUCUAUUAAUUU
RNAcentral lists this transfer RNA (69 nucleotides) under Onthophagus rhinolophus. RNAcentral describes it as "tRNA-Ser". Lineage: Eukaryota; Metazoa; Arthropoda; Insecta; Coleoptera; Scarabaeidae. The record is from RNAcentral.